UACGGAGGGUGCGAGCGUUGUCCGGAAUCAUUGGGCGUAAAGGGCGCGUAGGUGGCCCGGUCAGCGUGCGGUGAAAGCUCGGGGCUCAACCCCGAGUCGGCCGUGCGAACUGCUGGGCUGGAGCACUGUAGAGGCAGGCGGAAUUCCGGGUGUAGCGGUGGAAUGCGUAGAGAUCCGGAAGAACACCGGUGGCGAAAGCACUCUGCUGGGCCGAAACUGACACUGAGAGACGAAAGCUAGGGGAGCGAAUGGG
RNAcentral lists this ribosomal RNA (253 nucleotides) under uncultured bacterium. RNAcentral describes it as "partial 16S ribosomal RNA". It matches the Rfam family "Bacterial small subunit ribosomal RNA", at positions 524 to 776 of the family's 1533-position model. The record is from RNAcentral.